Molecule: long non-coding RNA, 317 nt
Organism: Anguilla rostrata (American eel)
Lineage: Eukaryota; Metazoa; Chordata; Actinopteri; Anguilliformes; Anguillidae
Exons: 2
Source: RefSeq, a predicted model, not a curated record
GGAAAAUAAUUUUCGUAUCUUUUCGGAAACACUCAAGUCCCCACUCUGUACUGUUUCCUUGGUUUAUGGAUUGGGAAAUUGGUGCGAAGAUGAAGUUGAAGAUUAUCCUAACGCUGUUCUGUGUUUUUGGCACUGUUCUGGGCGAGAUUCACAAUCUUCAUUACAUUUACACCGCCCUUUCAAAGCCCAUCAGUCAACCAGGAGUCUAUCAGUUCGCCGCUAUGGGAAUUCUGGACGACAGGCCGAUUGACAUCUACAACAGCGAAGAAAAGGUCAAGAAGCCGUUGCAAACAUGGAUGAAAGAACAUAACGAGAAA